Molecule: ribosomal RNA, 502 nt
Filed under: uncultured bacterium
Lineage: Bacteria
Description: partial 16S ribosomal RNA
Rfam family: Bacterial small subunit ribosomal RNA
Source: RNAcentral
AUUGAACGCUGGCGGCAGGCUUAACACAUGCAAGUCGAGCGGAGAGAGGUAGCUUGCUACUGAUCUUAGCGGCGGACGGGUGAGUAAUGCUUAGGAAUCUGCCUAUUAGUGGGGGACAACAUUUCGAAAGGAAUGCUAAUACCGCAUACGUCCUACGGGAGAAAGCAGGGGAUCUUCGGACCUUGCGCCAAUAGAUGAGCCUAAGUCGGAUUAGCUAGUUGGUGGGGUAAAGGCCUACCAAGGCGACGAUCUGUAGCGGGUCUGAGGAGGAUGAUCCGCCACACUGGGACUGAGACACGGCCUAGACUCCUACGGGAGGCAGCAGUGGGGAAUAUUGGACAACGGGCGGAAGCCUGAUCCAGCCAUGCCGCGUGUGUGAAGAAGGCCUUAUGGUUGUAAAGCACUUUAAGCGAGGAGGAGGCUACUUUAGUUAAUACCUAGAGAUAGUGGACGUUACUCGCAGAAUAAGCACCGGCUAACUCUGUGCCAGCAGCCGCAGUAA